RNAcentral lists this ribosomal RNA (403 nucleotides) under uncultured bacterium. RNAcentral describes it as "partial 16S ribosomal RNA". It matches the Rfam family "Bacterial small subunit ribosomal RNA", at positions 30 to 526 of the family's 1533-position model. The record is from RNAcentral.
AUUGAACGCUGGCGGCAGGCCUAACACAUGCAAGUCGAGCGAGCGGCGGACGGGUGAGUAAUGUAUGGGGACUGCCCGAUAGAGGGGGAUAACUACUGGAAACGGUGGCUAAAACGCAAUACUAUCGAAUAACCCAUAUGGGAUUAUCUGGGGUGUGGGGUAAAGGCUCACCUAGGCGACGAUCUCUAGCUGGUCUGAGAGGAUGAUCAGCCACACUGUGACUGGGACACGGCCCAGACUCCAACGGAGGCAGCAGUGGGGAAUAUUGCACAAUGGGCGCAAGCCUGAUGCAGCCAUGCCGCGUGUAUGAAGAAGGCCUUAGGGUUGUAAAGUACUUUCAGCGGGGAGGCGUUACCCGCAGAAGAAGCACCGGCUAACUCCGUGCCAGCAGCCGCGGUAAUUC